AUGGCCCUUGAUAUCAUUCUUAGAUUGGAUUUGGCCCAAGAAAGUAGAACAUUGAGCUUUGAGGAGAGGGACCUUCGGAGGAAGCUCAAAAGAAAGAUUGUGGCCCUUGCCGUUCUUGAGAGAACUAGAAAGAGACAAAGCUCCAGGGUUACUUUGCUCAAAGAGGGUGAUGCCAACACGCGUUUCUUCCACCUUCGCGUCAACCACAGAAGAAGAAAAAAAUUUAUUCAUCGGUUGAAACAUAACAAUGGAUGGGUCACAAACCACGAGGAUAAGAAGACGAUUGCACAAGAACACUUUAGGAAGGCCAUCAAAAAAGGGGUGCCCCGUGCUAUGGACCUCAACUGGGAAUUCAUCCCUGCUCCGGUUUCUGACCUCGCAGACUUGGCGAUGCCUUUCUCGUUGGAGGAGGUCAAGGCGGCAAUCUUUGCCCUCCCUAGUGAUAAAGCCCCAGGCCCUGACGGAUUCACCAGAGCCUUCUUCAAAGAGUGUUGGGAAAUAGUCCAACCUGAAAUCAUGGAGGUCAUCAACAACUUCUCUAACCUUCAUGUCUCCAACUUGCAUUGGCUGAACUCGGCAAACAUAGCUCUCAUUCCGAAGAAAGAUGGUGCAGAGGACAUCUCAGAUUUUCGACCAAUUAGUCUCAUCCAUGGUAUUGCCAAGAUCAUUGCAAAAAUGAUGGCCACACGGCUCACUCCUCAUAUGCACAAACUAGUCUCCAAUGCACAGAGUGCUUUCAUCAAGAAAAGAAGUAUCCAUGACAAUUUUAUGUAUGUGCGCAACUUGGCUAGGCGCUUCCAACGCAAAACUACACCAACUUUGCUUUUCAAGCUUGACAUAAAGAAGGCUUUUGAUUCGGUGCAUUGGGAUUACUUGAUGGAUUUGCUGCGCCACCAUGGCUUCCGAAGUCGCUUCAGAGAUUGGAUCUCCGCCCUUCUUUCCUCGGCAUCUUCGCGUGUGUUGCUCAAUGGUAUUGCCGGUGACCCAAUUCGGCAUGGUCGGGGCCUUCGUCAAGGGGACCCUCUCUCCCCAUUGCUAUUUGUGCUUGCCAUUGACCCGUUGCACCACAUCCUUGCCAAGGCGACUUCUCAAGGUCAUCUUCAACCGCUCAGAGGUCGACCCAUCCGUGCGUCACUUUAUGCUGAUGACGCUGCCAUUUUAAUUGCCCCAAUAAAAAAUGGCAUUCAGUUCCUGGCUUCAACUCUUGCAUCCUUUGGUGAUGUUACAGGAUUGGUCACUAAUUGUGCCAAAAGUGUAGUUGCGCCCAUUCGAUGCGGUAACAUUGACCUUGAUGACGUCCUGCAAGCCUUCCUAGCGGUUCGCUCCACCUUCCCUAUGAGAUAUUUGGGGCUUCCCCUUUCGGUUUCAAGGCUUAAGAGGAUUCACUUUCAGUUCUUAGAGGAUAAAGUUGCGGGGAAACUACCACCUUGGGUUGCCAAACAUGUGGCCGCGCCAGGUCGUGUCGUCUUGGUCAAGGCAGUGCUUACCGCCAUUGCUAUAUAUCAUAUUACGCCCCUGGAAUUGCCGGUGGAAGUGAGGAAGAAGAUUGACAGCUUGCGGCGUGCCUACCUUUGGGCGGGUUGCGAUAAAGUGACCGGUGGAAAAUGUAAGGUCAACUGGGAACUUGUUUGCAAGCCCAAGAUCUUCGGUGGUUUGGGCAUCCUCAACCUUGAGAAGUUUGCU
RNAcentral lists this ribosomal RNA (1683 nucleotides) under Triticum aestivum (bread wheat). RNAcentral's name for it is "partial small subunit ribosomal RNA". The record is from RNAcentral. Lineage: Eukaryota; Viridiplantae; Streptophyta; Magnoliopsida; Poales; Poaceae.